This 316-nucleotide long non-coding RNA is filed under the name Coffea arabica (coffee). RNAcentral describes it as "long non-coding RNA (CARA_LNC003327)". Lineage: Eukaryota; Viridiplantae; Streptophyta; Magnoliopsida; Gentianales; Rubiaceae. The record is from RNAcentral.
GUGAGACUACUACCACAAUCCUAUUCUGUUUCUCUGAACUGCAUCUGAAGCAGAUCUCCCGAAAUUUUUUAUGUUAAAUUGGGCUAACUAUUUGAAUUUGUCUUCGCAGGGAGAUUGGCCAUGUUGGCUUUCUUAGGAUUCAUCAUCCAGUACAAUGUCACUGGAGAAGGACCGUUUGACAACCUGCUGAAGCACCUUUCAGACCCAUGGCACAACACAAUCGUUCAAACAUUUGCGGGUAAAUAAACGAGUAUGAUGGAGCUUGUAACAAAUGAGUGAAUGGUUUUGAUUGGAGAUGGAACAAAUUUUAGAUCUU